Molecule: non-coding RNA, 142 nt
Organism: Pelobates cultripes (western spadefoot toad)
Lineage: Eukaryota; Metazoa; Chordata; Amphibia; Anura; Pelobatidae
Source: the annotation of a GenBank genome assembly
GUUGCUUACCUCCCAGCAGCUCCCAGUGUAAAUCUCGUGGUCUGUGUGCCGCGCGGAGCGUUGUCAUGGUAAACCAUGGCAACGCUCUGACAGCCGCGGGACUCGCAAGAUUUACACUGGGAGCUGCUGGGAGGUAAGUAAC